GUUAGUGGUCAAUGCCAUUCUGCUGCCUUGAAAUGCAUCAGUUUAAGGGAAGACAUGAGAUCAUGGGUUUAAGUGAGGCUUCAUCAUACUAAGACAACGUGAUCAGAAGGACAUAUUUGCUUCCCCUUCUACCAUGAUUGUAAGUUUCCUGAGGCCUCCACAGCCAUGCCGAACUGUGAGUCAAUUAAACCUUUUUCCUUUAUAAAUGUCCCAGUCUUGGGUAUGUCUUUAUUAACAGCUUGAGAAGAGACAAAUACGGAUAAUAUGAUUGGUUAGACAAUUUGAGAAUCUUUAUAAUAUUUUUCAAAAGAAACAUAAAUAUUGUAAUUUUUGUCAAUAACUGUUUGGUGAGCAAGGAAGUUAAUUUCUUUGAAUGUGUUUUUGUACUUGUGAAAUAGGGAUUAUAAUUCGU
Molecule: long non-coding RNA, 412 nt
Filed under: Homo sapiens (human)
Lineage: Eukaryota; Metazoa; Chordata; Mammalia; Primates; Hominidae
Description: HSALNT0295233
Source: RNAcentral